RNAcentral lists this ribosomal RNA (482 nucleotides) under uncultured bacterium. RNAcentral's name for it is "partial 16S ribosomal RNA". It matches the Rfam family "Bacterial small subunit ribosomal RNA", at positions 30 to 507 of the family's 1533-position model. The record is from RNAcentral.
AUUGAACGCUGGCGGCAUGCUUUACACAUGCAAGUCGAACGGUAACAGGCCGCAAGGUGCUGACGAGUGGCGAACGGGUGAGUAAUGCAUCGGAACGUGCCCAGUCGUGGGGGAUAACUACUCGAAAGAGUAGCUAAUACCGCAUACGAUCUAUGGUUGAAAGCGGGGGACCGUAAGGCUUCGCGCGAUUCUAGCGGCCGAUGUCAGAUUAGGUAGUUGGUGGGGUAAAGGCUCACCAAGCCAACGAUCUGUAGCUGGUCUGAGAGGACGACCAGCCACACUGGAACUGAGACACGGCCCAGACUCCCACGGGAGGCAGCAGUGGGGAAUUUUGGACAAUGGGCGCAAGCCUGAUCCAGCAAUGCCGCGUGCAGGAAGAAGGCCUUCGGGUUGUAAACUGCUUUUGUACGGAACGAAACGGCUCUGGUUAAUACCCGGGGCUAAUGACGGUACCGUAAGAAUAAGCACCGGCUAACUACGUG